AACCACAAACAAGUUUCAAAUGCCUUGAAAUACGCGUACUUUGAUUGCCAACAUAUUUAUUGCUUUUCAAUCUACCUAAUUCAGAUUUGAUUGGUUUUGUGGUAUUUUCAGCAGUGUGGUUUUAGCCAAUCAACUUAGCAAACACUUUGAAUUAAUAAUAGACAUUAAUUUUUAUCGCUCCAUUUACGGCUUAUUUGGGUUCUUAGAAUAAAAUGAUUUUGGCGGUUAUUUAAUUCAGUUACUACACAAAUAAGGAGAAUUUAUUUUAUUUAUUUAAAAAAUAUACAAAAGUGUUAAGCUCUACAUAAGCAGUUGGCUGUUCAAAAACAAUAUCUUAUGAAGAAUCUGAUCCCAUUGAUUAACAGACUCAUUUAUUUAAUUACCGGGGCAAUUAUUUUCAAUCAAGAUAUAUUCAAGUUUUCUUUCUGCUCAUCAGCUGUAGUCUAACAAUUUUAGUCAGAUUCACAUGCUUCCUAAGUCCAUAUAUUUAUAGAUAUAUGUAUUUUUUGUUUUAGCUUUUGCUGUUCAUUGAUGUGAGACGGUAAUGUCUACCGCCCAUCGAAGGUCGAACAGUAACAGCAAAAUACUUGAGGGCGGCAAAUGAGAUACAAAGUUGCAUGUUUUUUCAGCACCAUUAUUAUUUAUACAUUUUCGACAAAACAAUUAUUUUCGUUGUUGAGUGGGGAUUUAAUAUGAAUAGGAAGGGAAAAAACUCCUGGGUCAAGAUAUUUAUCUUUUAACGAUUGGUUUCUCAGCAACAGCAAACUUUAAUUUAUUUUGCUCAUGACUGCCUUUGUUUACUAUUUAGUUUUAUUUAACAUAAAAUAUUUCAAGGCGUGUUGAUAUUUGUUAAACUCGCUUUGACAGCAUUCAAAAUUUGCAAUCGGUUUAUGCUUUUGACGCUUUCGGUUUUCCACUUAUUUUAAAAAAUUAUUUCACACAAAUUUAUUUGUGCCCUGAAGUCAUGUCCGCAUUCGUUUAAUUUUCGGUAAAUCUUUUCAAAGAGCUAGCAAAAUUCUGCGUCUCAGAAAAUGGCAAACAAAUGUUUGCCGUGACGCCUGAAUGGCCACAGCCUUGAAUAUAAAUCACAAAAAAAAAAUAUAUAUAUAAAUAUAGCUAAUCGGGGCUCGGCACGAUACGGCAAUAGCCACAGCAGCCGUGUAGAAGGUUCGAACCAAUAUUAAGUAAUUUUAUUAUGAGAGGCAGAGGCCUCAAAAGUAAGUGUAUUAAAAUAAAUUACAGCGGCUGCCAACUAAUUGAAUUCAGCGCAGCCUCCUGCUAGGUCACGAAGGAAGAGAGACAUCACUUUCAACACCUCGAAGGGCUCAGUCCCAGACCUGGUAUCUUUAUACAUGCACUCGCAUAUAUAUAUAUUGUAAAGUUCGCUGAACAUAAUCAUUAAGCGCAAUUUACCUACAAAGUCGCAUGCCGCCAACAUGGCCCGUGCAAAAUUAUUAUUACCAUACGCCCCGGCAGCAACUGCAGCCUGAACCCGAGGCACAGACACAACAAAGGGUAUACUAUUCCAAUCCAUUCCAUACCAUAUCGUAUCGGUUCGGGAUCGGGGCAACGGGCCACCAGGCAAGCGAAACGAAAGACUCGAGGCACGAACUUGACGUGCUCAAAUCCAAAGUGUGGCAAAUCAGCUGGCUUAAAUCGACCUGCAUGCCCGCAAAUACAACUAAACAAAUAAAUACUUAACAUCGGCGCAACAACGGGGGAGAAAAAUACACGAUAUUCGAAAUAUAAAUCGUGUGGCUUACAUGGAGACAAGCCAAGUGAAAGCUGUUGGGCUGGGCUCUUUACGAAACUGUCUGUAGUCCGGGUUUUUACUUCUUCGCCACAUUUCUGUUUUCUUGAGCACAUAACAGGCAACUGUCAAUAAAUAAUCAAAAUAAACCCGAACCGCAAGUCGAAAUCAUUUGCUAAGUGACUAUUUUUGGUAACUUGUCGCUUGUAAAAAUAUUUCAAAGGAAGUCCACGCGUUUCACAGCCAAAUGCAGUGGGUAUCUCAAGUAUUUCAUGAAUUUGUGAAAUGGUUUGGUGGCUGAAAAGUGAUGCAAUAAUUUGGCUAAGUACAACGCCCAAAAUGCAAUUGAUAUGACUUUGCCAGUUGUGUACAGUCUGCGCCCAAUAAUGCAAUAUUUUAUUACUCCAAGAAAUAGAUUAAGGAGUUCACAGCUUAAUGAUAUGCAUCUGGUCUUAGGGCUAGCGCGAAAACAAAUUAAAUUAAUUCCCUAGCAAUAAAAUUGCCUCGACUUAGUUGAGGGUCCAAUAAAAAAUUUACUGCUGUGGACUACCCUAACAUUAAAACUUUGUCCCAGGCUGUAAAUAUUUUACAGCCAAACUCCCUUUUUCAAGAGCAGUGUUCUUGGGCUCCUCAUUUCAAUGCAAGUUUGCUUUCUCACAGGAAUUUUUAUGUCACCUUAAGUGUUUCUACUUCAACACAAAGCGUCAUGAGAUCAUCAAAUUUAUUCCGCUCGCAUCAUGGCAAUCGGAUCUUAACUGCCCGAUCUGAGCCCAUUCACGUUUUCGAGGAGCUGCGAAACAUAUGUAAAAUACACAAUCCUAUUAAAAGCUUUCGAUAAGUUGGCGAUGCGAACAGUACAAAAAAUAAUAUACGAAAAAUAAUACGGAUACAUUUUGUUAAUGGAAAAUGAAUGGCAGUCCAACUCGCACUCCCGCGGCCUAAGAAUCUUUCAUUGUGCGUGUCUUUGAACUUUCGCUUGGAUCGAUUUCGGCGAAAUUCGUGCAAUUCAUCAUGGCCAAAUUAUGUGUGAGAGGGUCCAGAAUGCCGAAAGGGCAACGGGCAAUAAGCAUUAAUCAUCGGCCAGCCAAAGCAAACUAUUAAAGCAGCUUAAACAGCCCCAGCGAACCUGACCGGACCAGCCCGAUUCGAUCGCAUCGUUGCUAGGUAACUUAUGCAACAAUUAAGUUUUAUGCUUUCCAUAAAUAUCCAAGCAGGCAGUCCAGUGACCAGUGUCCAGCUGGAGCCACUGGCUUCCUCACCCGCCGUUUUCUGUCUCAUCGCAUCGAUUAAACUAAUUAAAUUGUCAUAAAGUUUGUCCCUGCCUCCCAGAGGAAAGUUCUUUCAACAA
Long non-coding RNA from Drosophila yakuba, 3098 nucleotides. RefSeq lists it as uncharacterized. NCBI's taxonomy places the organism in Eukaryota, Metazoa, Arthropoda, Insecta, Diptera, Drosophilidae. The transcript has 2 exons. The record is from RefSeq and is a predicted model, not a curated record.